AGGGGAGUAGCUCCAAUGGUUAGAGCACUGGAUUCCAAAUCCAGGUGUUGUGGGUUCGAGUCCCUCCUUCCCUGCCA
This 77-nucleotide transfer RNA is filed under the name Sulfurospirillum arcachonense. RNAcentral describes it as "tRNA-Trp". It matches the Rfam family "tRNA". From Rfam's summary of the family: Transfer RNA (tRNA) molecules are approximately 80 nucleotides in length. Their secondary structure includes four short double-helical elements and three loops (D, anti-codon, and T loops). The record is from RNAcentral. Lineage: Bacteria; Pseudomonadati; Campylobacterota; Epsilonproteobacteria; Campylobacterales; Sulfurospirillaceae.